This 494-nucleotide ribosomal RNA is filed under the name uncultured bacterium. RNAcentral's name for it is "partial 16S ribosomal RNA". It matches the Rfam family "Bacterial small subunit ribosomal RNA", at positions 29 to 507 of the family's 1533-position model. The record is from RNAcentral.
ACGAACGCUGGCGGCGUGCCUAAUACAUGCAAGUAGAACGCUGAAGGAGGAGCUUGCUUCUCUGGAUGAGUUGCGAACGGGUGAGUAACGCGUUGGUAACCUGCCUGGUAGCGGGGGAUAACUAUUGGAAACGAUAGCUAAUACCGCAUAAUAGCAGUUGUUGCAUGACAACUGUUUGAAAGGUGCAAUUGCACCACUACCAGAUGGACCUGCGUUGUAUUAGCUAGUUGGUGGGGUAACGGCUCACCAAGGCGACGAUACAUAGCCGACCUGAGAGGGUGAUCGGCCACACUGGGACUGAGACACGGCCCAGACUCCUACGGGAGGCAGCAGUAGGGAAUCUUCGGCAAUGGACGGAAGUCUGACCGAGCAACGCCGCGUGAGUGAAGAAGGUUUUCGGAUCGUAAAGCUCUGUUGUAAGAGAAGAACGAGUGUGAGAGUGGAAAGUUCACACUGUGACGGUAUCUUACCAGAAAGGGACGGCUAACUACGUG